GUGAGGUUUGUAUAAGGGGCCAUUUUAUACUAUACAGGUAUGGUGCACCUUUCAUUUUGCAAUAAGAUGCAGUUUCGGUGUUGGAAAUGUUUCGAUGAAUUAUAAACCUAUGUCCAACAUUAAUUUUAAAAUUGUGCAGAUCGAGCAAAUCAUAUACACUUGAAAAGCUUGAAAAUAGACAGUCCAGAAAACUUGUUACAAAAUGCAUUAUUUUUAGAACUUGCAAUUCUGCUUUUUAUUUAUAUCCAUACAUCUUGAGGUGUGAAAAUGGAUGGGAAGUUUUUCAAUUUCAAAACACUCUUUUCUACUAGAUUUUUUAGGUACACCUUACUUCUAUAGAAUGAAGUUGCAACCCUAUAUAAACUCAUUAAUAUUACCAGCUCUAAUAAUGAAAAUAG
RNAcentral lists this long non-coding RNA (398 nucleotides) under Amborella trichopoda. RNAcentral describes it as "long non-coding RNA (ATRI_LNC002107)". The record is from RNAcentral. Lineage: Eukaryota; Viridiplantae; Streptophyta; Magnoliopsida; Amborellales; Amborellaceae.